This 417-nucleotide ribosomal RNA is filed under the name Paenibacillus pabuli. RNAcentral's name for it is "bacterial SSU rRNA". It matches the Rfam family "Bacterial small subunit ribosomal RNA", at positions 656 to 1071 of the family's 1533-position model. The record is from RNAcentral. Lineage: Bacteria; Bacillati; Bacillota; Bacilli; Caryophanales; Paenibacillaceae.
AGAGAGUGGAAUUCCACGUGUAGCGGUGAAAUGCGUAGAGAUGUGGAGGAACACCAGUGGCGAAGGCGACUCUCUGGGCUGUAACUGACGCUGAAGCGCGAAAGCGUGGGGAGCAAACAGGAUUAAAUACCCUGGUAAUCCACGCCCUAAACGAUGAAUGCUAAGUGUUAAGGGUUUCUAUACCCUUGGUGCCUAAGUUAACACAUUAAGCAUUCCGCCUGGGGAGUACGGUCCCAAGACUGAAACUCCAAGGAAUUGACGGGGACCCGCACAAGCAGUGGAAUAUGUGGUUUAAUUCCAAACAACGCCAAAAACCUUACCAGGGCCUGACCUCCCUCUGACCGGGCUAGAGAUAGACCUUUCCUUCUCGACAGACGAGACAAGUGGUGCAUGGUUGUCGUCAGCUCGUGUCGUGAG